RNAcentral lists this ribosomal RNA (253 nucleotides) under uncultured bacterium. RNAcentral's name for it is "partial 16S ribosomal RNA". It matches the Rfam family "Bacterial small subunit ribosomal RNA", at positions 524 to 776 of the family's 1533-position model. The record is from RNAcentral.
UACGUAGGGUGCGAGCGUUGUCCGGAAUUAUUGGGCGUAAAGAGCUUGUAGGCGGUCUGUCGCGUCUGCUGUGAAAAUCCGGGGCUCAACCCCGGACUUGCAGUGGGUACAGGCAGACUAGAGUGUGGUAGGGGAGACUGGAAUUCCUGGUGUAGCGGUGAAAUGCGCAGAUAUCAGGAGGAACACCGGUGGCGAAGGCGGGUCUCUGGGCCGUAACUGACGCUGAGGAGCGAAAGCGUGGGGAGCGAACAGG